UACGUAGGGUGCAAGCGUUAAUCGGAAUUACUGGGCGUAAAGCGUGCGCAGGCGGUUCGCUAAGACAGAUGUGAAAUCCCCGGGCUUAACCUGGGAACUGCAUUUGUGACUGGCGGGCUAGAGUAUGGCAGAGGGGGGUAGAAUUCCACGUGUAGCAGUGAAAUGCGUAGAGAUGUGGAGGAAUACCGAUGGCGAAGGCAGCCCCCUGGGCCAAUACUGACGCUCAGGCGCGAUAGCGUGGGGAUCAAACAGG
RNAcentral lists this ribosomal RNA (253 nucleotides) under uncultured bacterium. Its description in RNAcentral is "partial 16S ribosomal RNA". It matches the Rfam family "Bacterial small subunit ribosomal RNA", at positions 524 to 776 of the family's 1533-position model. The record is from RNAcentral.